Molecule: ribosomal RNA, 253 nt
Filed under: uncultured bacterium
Lineage: Bacteria
Description: partial 16S ribosomal RNA
Rfam family: Bacterial small subunit ribosomal RNA
Source: RNAcentral
UACGUAGGGUGCAGGCGUUAAUCGGAAUUACUGGGCGUAAAGCGUGCGCAGGCGGUCUGCUAAGAGAGAUGUGAAAUCCCCGGGCUUAACCUGGGAACUGCGUCCGAUACUGGGAGGCUUGAAUCCGGGAGAGGGAUGUGGAAUUCCAGGUGUAGCGGUGAAAUGCGUAGAUAUCUGGAGGAACACCGGUGGCGAAGGCGGCAUCCUGGACCGGUAUUGACGCUGAGGCGCGAAAGCCAGGGGAGCAAACGGG